GCCGGGGUCGGCCGGGGAGCAGCUCCCCUGUGGAGGGAGCGGGGCCGGGCAGGGCGCUGGGGCGAGCCAAAGCGGGAAGCUGGCAGCAGGCAGGAGGCGUUGGGCCCGGCCGCAGCGCUCCCCGCCUCACGCUCCGGCCCCGGGAGCCGGGGUCCCGGCGGGGGCAGGAGCUGCCGCUGAGGGGAGGCCCCCGAGUCCCUGCUCCAGCGCCGUGAGGCGAGCGCGGGCACGGUGUGAGGUGAAUUCGCAUCUAACCGGAGCUACAGGUUGCUCAAAGUGGGCUGAAAGUGUCUUAGAAAUUACUCCUACUACCAGUUUUAAUCAGUGACCGAGCACUCAGGUGUGACCGCCCAUACUCCGCAGUGUUUCCUUGCGUAGCUGCAAGCCUGCCCCGAUGUCCCUGUGCGCAAACUGGAGGCCGGUGGCUGCAGUAGCGCAAUGUGGAGACCAAAUCCAUCAGCUGUGCGUGUAGCUGGGUGUCUCGUGCCUGGCACUAGUCAGAGCUGCACAGAGACGCACACCUGCCUGCAGAGCUGCUAACAGCACAGCAUCUCCCCUUGGUUUCUGUGGGGUCCAGCACCUCUGAAAAACAAGCUAUUUAUUUAGACCUGAAUUUGCAUGGAGUGGCUUCUUCACGCACUGUUAAUCAAGAAUGUAUUCCUCCCACGUUAUGUGCGAAACCAAUCUGCGUGGCAGCAUGGAUACAGAGUCAAACCGCAGGCCUGGUCCACAACUAGAACUUAAAGAGUGAGCACAGAAGGGUGCACACAGCAAGAUGCUGCACUUCACGGGACAAUAUCUGGAAACUGGCAGCUAGAAUGACCUGCUACUCAACCCUUGUUGAGAGGGAAUCUCACACAAAAAUUGAAACUUCCCCAAAAUCAGUUGCUGACCUAAAUGACAGUGGGAAGCUUCAGAGUAAAAUGAGGAACAUAUUUUACAAUACAAGUGUUACUCUUAAGAGGGUGACCCCAUGUUAAUUUCAACAAAUUCCAACUCACCAAAAGUCAGUGUUUUAUUGCAUGAGAAGCUCAAAAGUAUCAUUCCCAUGUGAGAAAUCCCGCAGACGCUUGCCUAACAUGGAAGACAACAUGGAUGCAAAAAAUGUAUUUGAAACACAGGAAAAUAUAUGCUGCCUUAGGGGUGCAUCAGAGAAUGGUGAUGACCUAAUUAAUUUUAACAGUAUGGUCUGCGUCGCUGCUGGAGAAGCAGAGAAAUACUGCAUCAGUCAGGUGCAUUCCCACCCUACAGAUCUAAUCACUGAUCACACAGACAAUUGUUGCCUUAAAGUGGAAGACUCGAUUUCUUGUCCACCUCCAGCUGAAGUCCAGACACAUGGAAAGACUGGGUUCAGUAGACCUCUAACCAUGAAUGCCGUGUUGAGUGAGCAGGCAGAUACUCCCGUAGUAAAUCAGAAUUAUUUUACAAAACAUGAUUCUGAAAAUUCUGGAGGCAUUUUGGAGGCUUGUGCAAGUGUAAGUGAUGACUUUUCUGAUGAUGUCCUAGAGUAUUUUGAAUGUUCAGAUGUGCUGACAGCACAUGAAAAUGAAAUCUGGGAAAAGAAAUUACAGUUUUUAUUAGAAAGCGGUGAUGAAGAUGAUUUAAAACUGAGUAAGGAUUGUGAUGGGUGUGCUUACUUCCUCAGUGAGAUGCCGUGUCUGUUCCGAGUGUCAGAUAACACUACGCCUAUGGAUACUACCAUUGGCUUCUGUGGUCAUCACUCAAAAUUCAAAGGAGUAAAUGUAAGGAGAGACCCCUCUACAUACAGCCAGUCAACUUUGCAGGCAGAGAUGACUCUAGCUGUUGGACAACACCGAGAUAAAACUACCAGUGUGAAAGACGAAGAGAAGGGUAAAGUGCCUGUUGCAUCUGCUGUCAUUAAAAAUGAGUGUCUCCGAACUGAAGAAGAAAAUAAUGGAAUUGGCCAGACAGAUUUCUCAACCAGCAAACCUCAGAAUGUGGAUAAUGUACAUGCAAAGGCGGACUCCUCUACUGGUGGCAUAGGUACUGCUUUGACAAAUCAGGCUUCAGAGACAAUGACAGAAAGCAAGGUGGACGAGAACUUGCUAGGUGAAAACUCAUUGCUGCUAGAGGAGGGGAGAAGAAAUUCAUCAGAGGAAAAUGCAAGGCAUGCUGUCUCUACCUUAACAGAAACUCUAACAAGAAACCUUUUAAAGUUGCUAAACCCUAUAGAGCUCUGCAGAUAUGUUGGUAAUAUAGGGCAAUCUUUUCAGGCUGCUACAGAGGUGAGGGAAUCCAGUGCUUUGUUUCCCAGUCAGGAAGGAGUCUUUUCAGCACAAAUGUGUGAGGAGACAGAAAGCUUGCAAAUGCAGGCUGGUUUGUGUCGUACAGAAGAGGCGGAUAAAGACUGUCAUUGGGAACAGAAAAAGACUCGGGGCCCGUCUGAGCAAAAUCAGGUGCCAGAUGACAACGUCUCACCCAGGAAUCAAGGUGCCAGUCUUAAAAUCUCUAUCCAGAAUUGUGAUAGAGAAUGUAUGGAGCCUGAAAUAGCAAAGGAAGGCAUCCUCAUAACCUGCCAGAAUGCAGAAAACAUCCAUUCAGCUUCAGAAUGUACUGAAAAGCCACUACAAGCAAAAAAUGGAAGUUUACAAACCUAUUCUCAACACUGUGCUCCUUGUGAUAAGAGAGAAAGUUGUCACCAGCAAGUCUUCUGGGAACAAGGGAAGGAUAUUAGUAGUAAUGGCAACAAAUCAAAGAAAGACAUUUCACCUUUUCCCUUAUGGGACGCAGACUCUGUUCCUGAUAAACAAGAAAGUUUAUGUGCUGUUCUCUCUUCUGCAAAGCUGUGUGAUGAGCCAAAGGAGGGAGGGCAAAGGUAUGGUUUUGAUUCGCAUGAUGGCAAUGACAGAGAUACUCUCUGCAGUGUAUCAUGUGAUGAGUCUCUGUUUGAAGCUAAUCCCAAGUCAGUUCUGGAAUCUGGAGAACCUGGGUGCAAAGGAGAUGCCGAUUUAUCUGCAGUGCAUGACAAGCUCUGGAAACUUCUUCAAGAAGAUGACUCAGACUAUCAAAUCCCAUUUGAAAACUGGGGAAUCACAAGUUUGGAGGUAAGGCUGACAGAUACCAAAGUCACAGAACCGAACUCUGUGCAAGAGACCUGUUCUGAUCAUCCUUUGCCCUCAAAUUUCGUAGAACAGCAGGAACCUAUUACACAGCCACCUACUAGACAAAGAACAGAGAAAGAAGACUGCAGUGUCUCUAACGUCCUACUGAAAACAGAUGAAGCGUGUAACAGUGCAUCCAUAGAAAACUUUUCUCUUACACGAGUGGUAGAAGCAGAUGGUUUAUGUAUAAGUUCUAGCACUGAAAAUAAAACAGAAACACCAUCCACUUGUAUUUCAGAAAAUAGUAUCUUAAAUACAGAGGAGUGCUUCGAGCAGAAGCCAAAUCAAACAUUAAUUGUCAAUAAUGGAGCUGUUCAAAUGACUGUUUCUCGGGAAGGAAAGCUUACCGUUAAUAACACUUUCCAAACAUGUGAUACAGAUUCUCAAAGAUUAAAAAAUGCUCAGAGUAGUAACUUAGCAUGUGAUAAACAAAACCCAGCUUACAUGUCAGAUAAGUCACGUUGGACAACUGGACAAUUACCUCAUACUGAGCAGAACAUAUCCUUGAUAAAUGAGAAUAUGACUGAAACCACAGAUGAAGAUGCUGGUAAAGACUGUCAUUUUAAAGACUGUUACCUAGAAAGAAAAAAACUGGUGUAUUUCCCUGAGGAGAAAGUUAUUUUCCUCAGUAAUUCCUCUGUUGAAAAUACCCAUCAGUUUACACAUGAAAAACACUCUUCUGUUAACACCAUACAUAGAAGUUAUGAAAAUAAUUUACCAGAAAAAAGAAAUCACUCAGAGUUGAAUGCACAAAAUGGCACUAAUUGUAGCAGUUAUCAUCCUUCAAAAAAUUAUGACUCUCGAGAUUUUCAAGUUGUUUCUAAUACACAGAAAUAUAGUUACCCAAUGAAAUUGCCUAAUUUCAUUAAGACUCCUGAAACCAUAACAUGUAAGAAUCUACCCCAAAAUGUGCACCAAAUGACAGAAUUAGAAAAACAAGAAGUGAUGUUCACUGCCUCUUCUGAGAGUCCCCUUUUAACAGAUUUCUUGGUAAAAGUGCCCAAAUAUGAGCCAAGUAAACCAGGAAAAGAACAGAGAGCCAUUUUCAUAGGUGAUGAACAAAGGGCUGAAGCAUCCUGUGACUCUGGAGUCAGGCAUGUUUCAGAGAGUCAGCCUGCAGUUUCCCCUCAUAACGUGUCUGAACAACAUUUAUUUUUUGCUGACAACACCUUUAAGUUUGACGAAGAGUUAAAAACAGGUUAUUUGAAAAGUCCCACGUAUGCCUCUGGGAAUGUAACGUCAGUGUCAGUAAGUACCCUGCUGCCUAGAAAGGUUCAGAAUGAGUACUGCACAGUAGCGAAGGAAGAUUGUAGAGACAUCGGUAAUCAGAUGGAUCUCCAGCAACAGAGUGUAAGAGAAACAUCACCAUUCAUACCUGUAAGGCAGUCAGAGGGCUCUCUUAACAGUGUAGCAGCAAUGGGGUGUUCUGGCACAGGAAGUCACGUACAAACAGAAUGCACACAAACUGCUGUCAAAGGAGAUGAAAAAUUGACUGAGUUGGAAGCUUUCUGCGAAGCAUUGCAGGAUCACAUCCAUAGGGUACCAGAAGAAAAUAAGGAGGAAGCGAUCUUGCGUGGAAAUAAACAAGAGAUUCAAAGAACUACUGAAUACAACCUGGAUGCUGCUAAAAUGAAGUCUCCUUUGCACGCUUUAAUUAGCUCCAAGGCUCAGAGGCGGAUUAGGAAUAGUAUCGCUAAGCAGUCCUCUCCUGACUUGAUCACUUCCAGCAAGCUGGCUGAGGUUGAUUGUUCAAUUAAGUCUACUGAGCAUGAUAAAGACGAAGGAGUCAUGACUUCAGAGACUGCACUAAGUGCUUUAGUUAACCUGCCAGCAGUUGAUUCGGGGGACAGCCGCUCUCUUCAAAGGCAGCCACCCUACAGCAGGACUCAGCCACAUUCCUUAGCAUUGGCCACAUAUGAUCCGUUCUCAGUCAGUGUGGAAAGGCCAGAAAAUCAAGAAGGGUCAAAGUCCUGCCAGACAUCACCAACUGUUGCUGAGUCUGAGCCCAUCAAAUGUAAACACACAGCAAAGAGUGAGAACUUAGCUACUGGAGCAAAGAAGAAAUUACCACCAGCAACACUGUCGAAAAAACCCCGACUGGAGGAGAGAGGAAAUGUCAGCAAGGAUCCUAGCUGUGUUAGAAGUGAGGCAAACAUGAUUCAUAAAGAAAAUAGAAAAGAGCAAAGGAAACUAAUUUUGAAAAAGGAUAGCAAAGCUCCCAAGCUGCUGAAGAAAAUCCAAGCAGAGUUGUUCCCUGACUGCUCUGGAAAUGUUAAGCUGUGCUGCCAGUUUGGAGACAUUCAUGGGGACUCCACCAUUACAUGGACUAAAGACUCCAAGUUACUAGCUCGACUGCAGAGAAAUGCCCAGGAUGACUCUCCUGUCUCUUUGGCGAUAGCUAAAGCCAGUGACAAAGACCAAGGAAUGUAUUAUUGCUGCUUGAAUAAUAUAUAUGGAAAGGUAACUGCGGAGUUUAAUCUGACUUCUGAAGUCCUGGAACAUCUUUCAAGUUUUCAGAAUUUUGAAGGUGUGGAAGAAAUUGAAUUCAUGCAGCUCAUGUUCAGAGAAGAUUUCAUCAGUGACAGUUAUUUUGGUGGGAACCUGCAUGGAAUAAUAGCUACAGAAGAAUUUCACUUUGGUGAAGGCAUGCAUCGGAAAGCUUUCCGGAGUAAAGUGAUGCAAGGCCUUGUACCAGUGUUCAGCCCUGGCCAUCCCUGCGUUCUCAAAGUGCACAAUGCUAUCACGUAUGGGACCAAGAGUAAGGAUGAUCUAGUUCAGAAGAACUACAAACUAGCACUGCAGGAAUGCUAUGUCCAAAAUACUGCAAGAGAGUAUGCGAAGAUAUAUGCAGCUGAAGCUGAACCUUUGGAAGGCUUUGGAGAAGUACCAGAGAUUAUUCCUAUUUUUCUUGUUCAUCGCCCCGCUAAUAACAUCCCCUAUGCAACAGUGGAGGAGGAGCUGAUUGGGGAAUUUGUGAAAUACUCUGUCAGGGAUGGCAAGGAAGUCAAUUUCCUGAGGAGAGACUCAGAAGCUGGCCAGAAGUGCUGCACCUUCCAGCACUGGGUGUAUGAGAAAACCAAUGGGAGCUUGCUUGUCACUGACCUGCAAGGUGUAGGAAUGAAGUUAACUGAUGUUGGCAUAGCAACACUGGCCAAAGGGCUUUACCCCCCACUCACACGCCUGAGAGGGAAAAUAGCGUGGGCGCAACCCUCGCAGGCAGCGGAACCUUCCGGAAGGCGCCCUCCCGACACAGGGCCUGCGCUGGGGGCAGUUGGCGGCUGUGUUCUGCAGGGAGGAGAUGCACGUUUUCUGCCUGUGUUUUCUGCUCCCUUCGGAGCCAUCUCGCUGCAGCUGUCUUUGGCCUGCUUGGACCUGCUUGCAGAGGACACGAAAGAUUCCUUCAAAUGCUACUUCAGGAGCUCCAGAAGGAUUGCUAGGUGGCUAGAGUGUCAGAAGAUAAAAGCUCAAAUCCUGCUCAGGACCUCAGAAAGAGUGCCUUUUUAGCCAAAGUGUUAACAUGCUGAAGUUUCUGGACUGUGGCUACUUAUUGUCAGCGCUGGACUGUACUUGCCAGUGGGAGCUGUGAAGCAGGCUAAACCAAGCAUUCUUCAGAGACUGUCAGAAGCAAUGGCAAGCUACUGAAGUUGAACCUUGCUACUUCCUGGAACACAUUCUGCAACUGUGUCAGCAGAUAAGUACUAACUUUUCUUUGCCUUUUAAUAAAUACAUGCACACACACACACGGUAUUGUCCCAAGCUAAAAUGUAUUUGAAAUAGGCACAGACAUCACUCUCUCCCCUUUCCUGGCCCUAUAACAAUACAGAAAAGCAAUAAUUUUAUGCUUUUAUGACUUACCAUGUGUGAGCUCUGGGCAGUUUAUCAGGAGUUCCCCAUUGCUCUAUUGUAAACAGCUGAGGACCAUUUGAACCUGGAUGAAAAUGAAAAAUAGGAAAUUUUAAAUUACUGGACAUUACAGAAACUACCUAAAUGCUAUUUUAAAAAUUAUAUGUUUGCACAAAUUAAGUUUUCCUUAAGGCUAAGUUUUCAACUGGUAUAGAAUACCUGGUACAAAUUCCCUCAAUCAAAAUUACAUUAAAGUAAAUAGGAAUGCAGAUACUUAUUUGCAAAUAAAUAGUUAGCUUAAGUUUACCUUGCUACCUUUGCAUAGAGUAUGUAUAAUGCCAAUGAAAUAAGCUCAAAUAUUAACACUGGAAAAAAAUAGCAUUCUUGGAUAAACUUGCAGUCUCCUCUUCUUCAUGUGCUGUGAAUAUUAUUGUUGUUGAUAGCUGAACUCUUCUUUGGGGAGUUGAUUCAUUCCUUAGCAAGGAGAAUGUCUACACAACACCCACUGUGCACAAAAACUUUUACUUCUCAAGGUGCCCCCCAAGUACUCCAGGGCUGGUGGAAUCUAGAAGAAAUCUUAUGUGGGAGUAAAGGUUGACUAUACCUAUAUUUCAUUAAUGCCCAGGCUUUCCUGUGGAAGUUCAGAAGCGGUCUGUAUAGUCAUUCUAAAGGUGAGCAUAAUGGGUGGGCAGCUGAAAGGAAGCUUACCAUAAAGUUCAGCAAAUCCAUUCAUAGGCACGCGUGACGUCCCAGUAACAAACUGCAGUAAUCGAAUCCGUUUUUCAGCAUCCAUCAGUAAAACAGCCUAUUGAGAAAGAAAGAGUCACUUUCACAGCUGUACAUGUUGCUGUUAAGCAAAAACCAACCCAAACCUGAGUACAUUAUCUAUUUGUAUUAGACUGUAAUAAACAGACAUGUAACUUUGAAGGGGGGCAUAGAGGUAGCAGGCCAUUUCUCUGGUUAAACCAGAGGCAUCCUUUUCCAACUGUCCUCAGGCCACAACAAAGAGACGAUACCCUGGCAGCAGCUGGAAGCUACAACUGCUGUUCACCUUUGAGGUGACUUGCUUUUUCAUACCAUCUAUGACCUGUACCUGCCUGGUGGCAUGUGAUAAUUUAUAAAUAUACCUAGCAGGGAGAAUAGAGAAACAGAGAUGGCAGAAAAACCUUAAACAUCAGGCAGAGGAAUGCAGUUUCAAAGAAGAAUCAGUGUUGCACUACGACAGGAUCUCUUAGGACCAUAACACUGUUUGGGUUAGUGAAACAUCACUAUAUCAUAAUGAUUGUUGGUACAAUUACAUAGUCUUACAUCAUCAUGACAAUGAUUUUAAAAAGGCAGAAACAAACAAACUGCAACACAGUAAGGUAGCUUUGACUUUUAGGAAUAGCCACAGAAGUGAAAUGUGAUAAGAGUAUUACCUUCCAGAACCACUGGAUAACAGGAUGAUUUGGGCAGUAACCGUUUUUGUAGAUUGUGUGUUGCCUCCAGUCAUUAACAUCAACAUCGCCAAGGCCACACAUCAGUAACUGUAUACAGAAGUAAUCAUUAGGGUGUUAACUGAAGAUGGUAUUAGUAUUAUCCUGUGCACUUUAACAGAAAAACAAGAUUAAGCUCUCCCUCUGUUAUUUGACCUCUUAAACAGCUAAGUGGUGCAAAUAUAAAUGCAGACACAAAGGAGAGCUGAGCUCCUCUUCAAGAGAGUUCUCAAAGAAUAUCUCACUUUCCUGAAGAAACACUGUACAAUAUGAAGCACAUGUGCUUCACGUGACAGCAUCUUUUAUAGUAUUUUGCUCAAAAUAUGACGGGUAUAAGCAUAACAACAUUAACUCAGUAAGUUACUUGCAUGCUUUACAUAUCAACAUACUCAACCACCUCAUUGAGUAAAUAAUAUUUUUGUACUUUUACUUUAUCAAUAGGUUUAUUAUUUUUUUAGGGAAAAAGUUCUCAUUUCUCACUAUAAGUAAAGCAUCUUUGUCUCCUAAUUCACUGAAGAUCUAGUGACUUCAGGAUAUAACAUAUCUUUUGCAAUGAGAUUGAUCUGGUUUAUUGUCUCUGGACAUCAGUUACACAAACUCACCUCUAGUUCAUUUUCAUCAAAAAUUUUAAUCAGGUCAAUAGGAAGAAGUUCUGUGAAUCCCUAAGAGAAAGCAAAAUAAGGGUGAUAUUAGCACAAUAUGUAACACUAAGUUUUUUAUCUACGGGUCUUGGCUUCAGGGAAAGCCACUAGUUAAUUAAAUGACAGACAACAAAGAAGGAUUUUGAAAAUGAAAUACAUGGUUCCUGAGUAUUAAUGAAUCUCUAAUUUAAAAAUUAAUCACUAGAUUAUUUCAAACUCAAGUAAUUUAAACUUGAAAGAGAAUAAUCUUAUAAAAGGAGAACUGUGAAACCAUUAUAUGUAAGCAUUCCAGAACUUGUGCAGUCAUGCAAAGCUUCUCACUCCCUUAAUGAGAUACAGAUAUAUGAGAAGUCUACAUAAAAAUAUAUAUGUAUUAUGUGGGUAGAACGGAAAAAAAGUACUUUACCUCCAAAAAAGCAUUCAUUUGUUUUUGAACUCUGUUGACAAACCUCCACUGGAUGACCAGACUAUAGUAGUUAAAUAAAAACAUGAACACAUUCAUUAGAAGACUUUAGACUUAAUUAGCAACCUUAACAGUUUCCGUUUCUCUUCAAGCAUCUCCCAACAAUACUUUGAUGCUAAGGAAACUAAAUUAGACAGACAUCCUAUUUGCAUUCUUUUCUCCAGAAUUAGUUUGCUGUCCAGAUCUGCCUUUACUCUUGUUUUGUAUUCUGUGACAGCAGUUCAUCAGGAAAAACAAAAUUCCAGGGUAGAAACUCACUCCCAUUAGGAGCUCUGCGAAGCUGACAUAGUUAACCCUAGGCACUUCGGUGUAGUCAAUGCACAGAAGCAGGCCAAAUUCAUAUGCCUGCUUUAACAUGAUAAUUACUAUAUCCAAGAAGUGCCAUUUUUUUCACAAUUUCAUCAAUUGUGAAGGGUGAAGUUUCAGCUUAGAGUAAUUGGUGAGUAAUUUAGAUGUAGAUGUCUGCAAUAAUAAUAAUAAUUCAGAGAAAUGCCAUCUCUUCUUGAAUAUUCCUCAUGCCUACACAUCAUCAAGAAGAUACUGUUUCCUGUUACAUCAUAGACUACCUUGAUUAGUUAAAUCAUACAACAAUAAAGGUUAAAAUCUAAACUUUCUAAGGAUCAAGUGUAAACAAACUAUGUUAACAAAAGGAUUUUCUUUUAGAAGGGAUGUCUGAUGAUUUAUUGCACUACAAUAAUUACAGUAGGGUGAAUUUCAAACCAGUACUACUGUGUAUUGUUACACUCCAGAUAAAUUCCAUAAAUAUAUACUUACUCAAUGUAUUCCCUUUUGUUUUCAUUUGUUACCAUGAUUUCUGACCCAUUUGGCUUCAGGUCAACUUGAUACGUCUAUAUUUUAAAGAAGAAAAAAAAAACCACAACAACAAAAGAUGACAUUAUUUCAGGACACGUUUCUCAUGAAAUCCACUGCCCUUGAGCAGCAUUUUACAAGUAGUACUAGAAAACUAUUAUACUGUAAUAGCUAAUGAGCCAUCAUAGUAUUUCACAUCUAAAGAUGGAAUCAUUACGAACAAAUUAUUCUGUGAUCACUCUUAAGAAUGAAUUAUUUUCAAAAUUCUAGUCCUGAACAGCAGGUUCAUUUGGGUAAAGAAAACACAUACUUCAUUUUCAUAAGGAUAGAAAAAUGUCUUCUAACUCUUCAAAAUGUUUGAAAAAAAAUACCAUUUAAAAUCCAGAGAGAAAUUCUUCUGUUAAAAGGACAAAUAAGCAAAGUAGAAAAAUGCAUUACAGAAAUGUUUAAACGCAGAUUUGUUGAGAAUGGUGAGCACAACCAUCAUAUGAGCAUAAGAUGGAAACAAACAGAUUCAUUACAGUUCACAAGAAACUACAAGACCAAAUAAUACAUUCAAUUUUUGGUGAAAGUAAUUUAUCAGCAGAAAUUCAACAGAAUUAAUGCAGACUUAGGUUCCAUGAAAGCCAGAAGUUGCUAACUUUUUUUACCAGUUAAUGCUUACACAAAAGAGCUACCAAACCAUGUGCUCAGUAGUGCAGCUAUGGGGAAGGAUAUUUCUGAAUGCAGAUGCCGGUGUUUACAUACAUUGUAGGCACAAGAUUUCAUUUUUUAAAAAGAAUGGGCACUUGGGAGCAUUUUUCAUUAAAGGAAAAGAGAGAAGGAAAGUCAAAUAUUCUGGCUAUUGUCGGGAACUUCCCCAACAACCCCACACAUACUAUGAAAACAUGGAAAAAUGUUAUAUUCAAGACAAAAGAAAUCAUAAAUGCCAUUACUUAAUCUGCAACCCCUGAUACAUAGAAACAACAUGCAGAGAUAUAAUAAGGUAAGCUAAGAAACAAAUCUAUGAUCCUCAACCUGCAGCUAUUUAUAAAAGCAGUUUGUAAAGUGUCCCCAAAAGCAUAAACACUUAUGAACAUUUAUUUUUUUUUAAAUUAUGCGUCACUCGUCAUGCACUUCACUGAUUAUCAUUCUACUAUUUAUUUUGUCUUUUGAGAACAUCUUCACCUAUACCUAUAGGCCCCAAACAGUCCUAAGCUGAGACAAUUUUCCAAUAAAGAUUCUGUAACACCUUUAUUACUCCUUAUUUCAGUCCCGAUCAGGUCCACAAGCACGUGAUGCUGGCUUUUGGCAAUAACCAGUAGGAUGGAUGUACAGACUUUUGGGUUAAUCUUUACAUACCUGUCCGAAGUUUUCCUCAUCUAUGCAAAACAUGAGAUCUAGCUCUGUAGGGUCAUUUUCCAGGAUCCACUUCAAAGAGUUGUAGUAUUCACUAUCCUACAGGAGAUUGAAAUUAAGCAAAGUUGGAAUAUAUAAACAUUAAAUAUGCAAUUUAAUUUUAAAAUAAACAAAUAAAAACAUCUAAAAUUAGAACUCCAAAGGGGUUGGAAGGAUGGGAACCUUUUUAUUUGUAUAGCUACUAUAAAGCAGCGUAAAGAUGAAUUACCUUAUUCAUUUGCAUUUUUUAGAUGCUAUAUUUUUAGGUAUGUGUAACUCUCCUUAAUUGACUUGUAACUUUAUUAUACAAUACAAUAGAUUGACUGUACUAAUUGGCUAGAGAAUGUCUUCUAGAUAAAGCUGUUCUUCUCAACACUAUUUAUGUACUGCUUCAUUACAUCAACAAUAUAUUAUACAAUUACUGAUUAUAUUGUUGUUAUUAAAACCUCUUGAAAUUUGCUGAAUAAAAAAUCCCCUCUAAAUUCCU
Molecule: non-coding RNA, 12218 nt
Organism: Anas platyrhynchos (mallard)
Lineage: Eukaryota; Metazoa; Chordata; Aves; Anseriformes; Anatidae
Source: RefSeq, a predicted model, not a curated record